GGGGGUCUAGCUCAGAUGGGAGAGCGCGCGCUUAGCAUGCGCGAGGUACUGGGAUCGAUACCCAGGUCCUCCA
RNAcentral lists this transfer RNA (73 nucleotides) under Martensiomyces pterosporus. RNAcentral's name for it is "tRNA-Ala". The record is from RNAcentral. Lineage: Eukaryota; Fungi; Kickxellomycota; Kickxellomycetes; Kickxellales; Kickxellaceae.